RNAcentral lists this non-coding RNA (157 nucleotides) under uncultured Niameybacter sp. The record is from RNAcentral. Lineage: Bacteria; Bacillati; Bacillota; Clostridia; Lachnospirales; Lachnospiraceae.
UAGAGGUGCUAUUUACUAGCUUAAUAGGGAAACAGAUGCAAUUGCUGUACGGUCCCGCCGCUGUGAUGAGGAGAAACGAUGAUAAACCACUUUCUUAAAAAAGAAGGGAAGGGCAUCGUUUUGAUGAUUCUAAGUCAGAAGACCUGCCUUUUAAUAA